CCUACGGGAGACUGCAGUGAGGAAUAUUGGUCAAUGGGCGCUAGCCUGAACCAGCCAAGUAGCGUGAAGGAUGACUGCCCUAUGGGUUGUAAACUUCUUUUAUAUGGGAAUAAAGUGCAGUAUGUAUACUGCUUUGCAUGUACCUUAUGAAUAAGGAUCGGCUAACUCCGUGCCAGCAGCCGCGGUAAUACGGAGGAUCCGAGCGUUAUCCGGAUUUAUUGGGUUUAAAGGGAGCGUAGGCGGGUUGUUAAGUCAGUUGUGAAAGUUUGCGGCUCAACCGUAAAAUUGCAGUUGAUACUGGCAGCCUUGAGUACAGUAGAGGUAGGCGGAAUUCGUGGUGUAGCGGUGAAAUGCUUAGAUAUCACGAAGAACUCCGAUUGCGAAGGCAGCCUGCUGGACUGUAACUGACGCUGAUGCUCGAAAGUGUGGGUAUCAAACAGGAUUAGAUACCCGAGUAGUC
RNAcentral lists this ribosomal RNA (460 nucleotides) under uncultured bacterium. RNAcentral's name for it is "partial 16S ribosomal RNA". It matches the Rfam family "Bacterial small subunit ribosomal RNA", at positions 338 to 795 of the family's 1533-position model. The record is from RNAcentral.